GUUAAAUUUCAUGAAGCCUUCCACCCCCCUCGUGAGUACACCUACGUCAGCGAGUACUAUGAGCUGUAUUUUAUUAGGAAAAAAAAAUAAAAAAUUAGGGAUCUCUGCGGAUAACUGCGAUAAUUAGGAUUUUAGGUAUUUUUGGCACGAAUAUCUAAUUGUUUAUUUAUGGGUUAUCUUAGUGACAUAGAUGACAAUUGGGUGCCACUUGCCACGGACAAGCAAACUAUUAUUAUUUUUAUUAUUAGGUAUUAUUGUUUACAUUAUUAUCUAACAAUAGAAAAGCAAUCCGACAUAAUCGAAAAUAAAUUUGAAAAAGGUUUUUUUCAAAAAAAAAGCUAAUAUUAGGGAUGGGUGUGCUAUUGUUGUAGAUUAGAAGCGAG
Molecule: non-coding RNA, 383 nt
Organism: Cinara cedri
Lineage: Eukaryota; Metazoa; Arthropoda; Insecta; Hemiptera; Aphididae
Source: the annotation of a GenBank genome assembly